Molecule: RNA transcript, 2052 nt
Organism: Tripterygium wilfordii
Lineage: Eukaryota; Viridiplantae; Streptophyta; Magnoliopsida; Celastrales; Celastraceae
Gene name: ATPase WRNIP1
Exons: 2
Source: RefSeq, a predicted model, not a curated record
UGCAAGACCAGAAAGUUUCUAUACGAACAGAGUGAGACGUGAAAAUGGAGGAGGAGAUGGAGCAACUCCUAAGCAUGGGCUUCUCAAACGACCUGGCGGCCCAAGCGCUAGCCGCCACCGGCGGCAAGUCAACUCUCAAGGCCACCGAAUGGAUUCUAUCUCACAAACACUCUUCCUCCACCUCCUCCUCCCCUCCCAACCCUAAUCCCUCUCCAGUUCAGCCCAAGCUCGAUCGGUUCUUUCACUGCCACUCUAAGCCAUCCAAUUCUACAAUCAAAGAACAACAGAAUGACUCUCCUUUAAUCGAAGAAGAGCAAUCGCCUUCAGCCGCUCUUACUAAGCGGCCCAAACUAGCCGUUAACGGUCAGUCUACUACUACUAACAACCAUCGUGUUCAUGUCCCUCCACACCAACCUUUAUCGGAGCGUAUGCGGCCACGGACUGUAAACGACAUCGUUGGACAAGACCACCUCCUUUCCUCCGCCUCCAUUCUUCGCUCCGCUAUUGACCGUAAGCGUCUCCCUUCGAUUGUCCUCUGGGGCCCACCUGGUACCGGCAAGACCUCAAUAGCCAAAGCAAUCGUAGCUUCGAAUGAGCUUCAGUCCUCGUACAGGUUUGUAGCAUUGUCGGCGGUCACCUGCGGGGUCAAGGACGUCAGGGAUGCUGUGGACGAUGCCAAGAAGACAAGGAAGUUGAACGGGAAAAGGACUGUGCUUUUUGUGGACGAGGUUCAUAGAUUCAACAAGUCUCAGCAGGACUCAUUCUUGCCUGUUAUUGAGGAUGGUAGCAUUGUGUUCAUUGGUGCUACUACAGAAAACCCUUCUUUUCACCUGAUAACCCCAUUGUUGUCCCGAUGUAGAGUCCUAACUCUUAAUUCCUUGAAGCCAGAGCAUGUCGAGACCCUCUUGAAGCGAGCAGUGGAUGAUGGGGAGAAAGGAUUGGCGAAGAGUGUGGGGAUGAAAGUCAGUGUUAGUGAUGAAGUUAUUCAAUUUCUCUCUGCAAAUUGUGAUGGUGAUGCUCGGGUGGCACUGAAUGCAUUGGAGAUUUCUGCUACGACAGCGGAUGCUCGAUUGAAUGAGGAAAAUGUGUUUGCUUCUUCGAAUGCAGUGAUUGUUACUGUGGAUGAUGCAAAGGAGGCACUUCAGUGCAAGCAUCUUGCCUAUGACAAAGCAGGGGAAGAGCACUAUAAUUUGAUUAGUGCCCUACACAAGUCUAUGAGGGGAAGUGAUGCCAAUGCUGCUAUUUACUGGUUGACCAGAAUGUUGGAAGGAGGUGAAGAGCCUCUUUACAUUGCAAGGAGACUGAUAAGGUUUGCGAGUGAGGAUGUUGGCUUGGCAGACCCUUUGGCGCUUAAUCAGUCUGUUGCCUGUUACCAAGCUUGCCAUUUCUUGGGUAUGCCCGAAUGCAAUGUGAUUCUUGCCCAAUGUGCCGCAUACCUGGCUUUGGCUCCCAAAUCGGUCUCUGUGUACCGAGCAAUAGGGGCUGCACAGAAGGUUAUUCGGGAGUCAGUUGGGCAGAAUGAGGGAGUGCCUCUUCAUCUAAGGAAUGCACCUACAAAGCUAAUGAAGGACAUCGGAUAUGGAAAGGGGUAUAUAUAUACUCCUGACAAUCCCUCUGCAACACAGAGCUAUCUACCACCUUCACUUCAGGGGUACAAGUUCCUUGAUUGGCCCAAUGCUGAUGUUGUUGAUGGACAAUAACAGAUGGGAUGGUUUAGCGUCCUCCAGUUUUGGGAAUUUUUGAAAAUGUUUAUCCAUGCUGUAUGGUGAACAGUUUCUGGAGCCUCUUAGGGGCAUAUUGCCAACUUUCAAGUUGUCCUUAUUGUUAUGAUAUUAUCAUGUAUUUGAUGUUUAUAAGUUCAAUAAUAGUAUCCAGUUUCAUCUUGCCACAGUUACUGAGUUGUGUUUUUAUAAAUUUAUUAUCGCCCGUCAUGCCUAAUGGUAAAUUUGGACAUCCUUGGCCUUAAAUUCUUUGGAUGGUGUAAAUCUUUUUCCCACACUUUUGCUUUAGACUGGUAUGAGUUAAUCUCUCUUAAACGAAGAGAUAAACACC